This 67-nucleotide transfer RNA is filed under the name Ictidomys tridecemlineatus (thirteen-lined ground squirrel). Its description in RNAcentral is "Spermophilus tridecemlineatus (thirteen-lined ground squirrel) tRNA". It matches the Rfam family "tRNA". From Rfam's summary of the family: Transfer RNA (tRNA) molecules are approximately 80 nucleotides in length. The record is from Rfam by way of RNAcentral. Lineage: Eukaryota; Metazoa; Chordata; Mammalia; Rodentia; Sciuridae.
GGUUGUGGCUCAGCGGUAGAGCACUCACCUAGCAUGUGUGAGGCGCUGGGUUCGAUCCUCAGAACCA